CCGUUUGUUCUAGGUGAGAAGGGUUGACCGAGGCCGGGCGGAGAUGGCGGAGGGGAAGGCGAGUCUCCUCGCCGGUGAGGCGGAGAUGGUGCGCGGCCAGUCCCCGCAUGGAGAGCUCGUAGGCACGAGGCGUGCUUCACAGGGAUGGCUCCAGGUUGGAGAGAUGUGGGCAUGAAGAGGAGCUCAACGGAGCUGCCCCGUCGUGCUCGCCACCAGCAAACUCCAGUCGGUUGGGGCAGUACUAGUCGCCGGCGCCGAUGAGGCGCAAGGUAUAUUUAUUCGCCCCCCUGCAGUCCUCGCUCCGUCCAAUUUUUGUCCUAUGUGUCUGCCCUCCUUCGUGCUUGAUUCAGUUCGUCGUGAUUCUCGCCGGCGCCGGUGGUUUAGUUCGUUGGUCUUUGGCAGGAAUGUUUUGCGGUAGCUUAGUUCAACCGUGGCGAUUUUUCUAGUGAUUCAUCAGAAACGCGCCCUGAAUUUGUUGCAGCCACCUCUUCCGCGCGUGUCAUCCUAUCCCCAAAAUAUCCCUCGCCAAGUGCAUGUUGUCUUGGAUGUAGAUGUCUAUUUUUGUUUCUACGAAGUGUUGAGUGUCAAAUUUUCAUUUACUAAGCAGAUGGUGUGUGGAGCAGGUACAUGUAUACAUUUUCUGGCAUAAAUUGUUUAGGUGGCAGUCCUAAACUGAAAUUAUGAAAUUUAGUUCAUAUUUUUGGAGGUAUACAAGCAGUGCGGCAUGUCACUCGCAACUCAUGUUUAUUUCAGUCAUUCUCAAGCAAGUGGAUGUGAUCUAGUUUUGGUACUGUAGGUUAUGCAGGCCGGCGUGCCGGAGACGGCACCAUUCUCUCACUGCGGUGGCAUCCAUUACCCGACGACGGCGUGGAUUUAGGACUGUUAUACGUUUAUGGAGCCUCGUGUCAGCAAUUAUCCAAAAACUACAGGGUUGUUGACAGCUCAAACCUCGGCCAACAUGGUCGGUCGGAACCAUCAUGAGCUAGCAGGCAGCUGAGGUCUGCACAGGCUUGCUACGGGCAAAAACGUUAGAUGCGGCUAAUGCAUGUAGGCGAAGGGUUUCUUUCUGUUAUGCGGCGUCAUAGACAAGUACAGCGGCUAGCGACGAUUUAUUCAGUGCGAAGAGUCAUUAUGGCAGCAGCUGGUAGAUGAACUUCAGUGACAGCAAUGCAUGCAAAUCAAGUGUUUUUGUGUCGUGUUAUUAAGGACAACAGCUAGGAAGAAUACAUUCAGGUUAUUAGUUUACAACUUGAUCUCUUCGCCUUCUUCUUCAUUUUAAUUCUUUUUAUUACGUGAAUAACAUUUUAUGUUAUUAAGAGUCAGAGCUAUAGUGAGCAGUUUGUUUUGUACAGCCAUGAGAUGCAACAUUUUUUUUUACUUUUUACUGUUAGUCAUCAGUUUGUUUUUACUUUUUUUUGCCGCAUUAGUAUGUUUGUAGCAGACUAGUAGUACCAGAUUAUGUGAUGUUAUAAAGUUGUUCAUUUCCUAUCAAUUUUCCUUAACAUAGUUGGUUUUGUUCAUGUAGACUCCAUCUCACGGCAUGGGCUGGGCAUAUUGAGUGUGAAAUGCCUUUGGAAGCACAAGCUGAUGUUAAAGGCUGCAGAAAUGGACGACACCGUUGUGAUCCAUUAGUAUUUGAUUCCAGCCAAGUGUCGAGAUUAGCAAUGUUCAGUCCACCAUGAGCUUUAGCCUUCGUUUUGUACUUUUUUUGGGUAACAUUUAGUCCAUCCUUUUUUAUCACGAGGAACAUGAGCCGCUGAAGUAAUGUGAAGACUGGGUAGUUUCUUCAGUUUCUUUCGUCAUUGUUUAGGCAUGAGCAGAUGAAGUAAUGUGAAGACUAGGAGGGCCACACAGGCAUUUGUGUCUAAGUUAGUUAGCAUAAUUUUUUACAUUCAUUUCAAAGUCCAUCAUUUUUAUCAUCGAGAGAAGAUCAGUUAUCUCUGUUUGUUAGUUUAAGUCAUCUUUCAUUCACUCACCUUAGUUUCUUACUGUACCUCAGUAUCUUAGUUCAAUUGGUUUUUCUCUCUUCAGUUGUACAUUUUUCUAGGUUUCAGUUUCAGUGUCUCCUUUCCUUAGUUUCGUAUCUCCUUUUCAGUUUUAGUCUCAUUUGUUCCUUAGUUUCAUUAUGUCGAAAUUACCUUUCCUCUUAUUUCAGUCCUUCAUGUUGUGAUUGUUCAGUUUAUUCAUUCGAUCGUUUCCGUGAGUGCUCAGUGUUCAAUUUGUAUUCAUUCUCUAUCUCAGUCCUUCAGUAUAUAUGUCCUCAGUUUUCUUCAGUUUCAGAUUUCUGUAUUUUAGGUUCAGUGUCAUUUUAAGUCUUAUUCAGGUUUCAGUUAUUUGUAUCUUUCUCGUGCUACUCGUUCAUGUUCCUUGUCCUCAGUUGUUUUGUCAUUUCAGUAUUUCAGUUUUAGUAAUUGUUCAGAUCGUCGUCACAUCUUCUGUUAGACUAUAAGUCAAUGUUCAGAUAGUUGACUCAUCAUUGUUCAGUUGUUCUUGCAUCAUCUUAGUCAUAUUCAGUAGGUGUUUUUUUUUCGUUAUCUCAUGUUCAGUCUUUCUCUGUAAAAGAAAUCCAGUAUGUGUCACUUUUUCCUUCAGUUACAGUCAUGAUUAUCGUCAUGUUUCAGUUUUGUAGUCAGUCUUCGUUGUUAUGGUCAUUAAUUCCCCUAGGACAGUUAGCUAGUUUUACUUUUACCAAGUCAUUUUCAUUCCUGAAAUAAAGGUAUUAUUAUUCCUCAGCCAUCAAUUAUCUUCUUUUGUCCUGAGUGUCCAGUUUGCCUCUUUGUUCAGUCUGCUCAUGAUUAACUCAGCAAGUCUCCCACACUAGUGUUUAUCAGUAUCUCAGUUCUAGUUUUCAUUUUCCUCAUGAUUGCACAGUUUUAGUUUUAGUUUCUUCAGUCUCUGUUAAGUGUUUGUAUACUCAGUGAUUGAUCAAUUAUCAGAUUUUUAUGCAGGAAGGUGAUCGCAUUUUUAUUGAGUUCUUCUCUGCCAAGUGGAACAACAGGGACACAAGUAAGCCUUAUCUAACUCUAGUACAUUUUCUUUAUGUAUAAAAUGAUUCACAAGUAAGGCAAUCACAUAAAUGCAGCAUAUAUGUAUAAAUGAAAAUUUCAGUGAAGGAAGGGCAGUGUGUUGCUACCUGAGAUGAUUCCCCUUGGGGUGGCUCCAGGUGGUUGUGCUCUGGAUCGUAAGCAGUAACCCUCAGAUGCUUCCUCCGGCUCAGCAUGCAUGCUUGUUUCAUUUGAUUCAGGUGUGUGUUCUCCACCCGCAGCAACCGAUGUUUUUUCAGUUUUCAUUAGUCUCUAUCUUCGGAAGUAGUUUCGCAUGUACCUCUUCUCUAAAGGAAUGGAAAGUCGCAUACUGUCAAAGCGUUCCCUUUUCAGUCAAGUAUUUUGACUUAUAUCACUCAGCGGACAAUGCAUGGUUCCUUCAUGUUUGUAUUAUUUCUGUAUCUCAGUUUGUUUUUGAUUUAUCCCCUGCACAGGAUGAAGUGCCAAGUGUGUUUCUCCUACUGGCAAGACACGGAUGCGAACAGCACAUCGUUUCUUCACUUUUAGGUUUUCUGUAUUUCAUGGUUAGGUUCAGUGUUAUUUUCAGUCUUAUUCAGAUUUCAGUCUUUCUGUAGACUUCUCCUGCUGGGUAAUCGUUGGGUAAAUCAAGGGCUAGGCAUACGAACAAACACAGCCAUAUGAUAUAAUCAUUGAAUAUUUGUAAUUUUGGGUAAAUCAAGGGCUAGGCAUAUAGGCAACUCAAUUGAACAUGAAUUCUAGACAUAUGAAAGAACCGACACGGCGAAAAUCUUUUUUAAAAGGAAAAAACAUGUGUUCCUCACAAUGAGUACUACUAGGAGAUUUGCCUUAGAAGUUUAAAGGUUUCUGAACAAUUCAUCGCCCAACAUCGGAGUGCGGACUGAAUCCGACUCUAGUCGUCGGUGUUGCCAUUGUUCCAGGGACAUGGGUCAUCUCCUCCUACCAUUGUUGUUAUC
RNAcentral lists this long non-coding RNA (3979 nucleotides) under Triticum aestivum (bread wheat). RNAcentral's name for it is "long non-coding RNA (TAES_LNC024140)". The record is from RNAcentral. Lineage: Eukaryota; Viridiplantae; Streptophyta; Magnoliopsida; Poales; Poaceae.